UACGAAGGGGGCUAGCGUUGCUCGGAAUCACUGGGCGUAAAGCGCGCGUAGGUGGCUUCCUAAGUCUUGACGUGAAAGGUCGCGGCCCAACUGCGACAGGGCGCGGGAUACUGGGGAGCUUGAGGGCAGCAGAGGCCGGUGGAAUUCCCGGUGGAGUGGUGAAAUGCGUAGAGAUGUGGAGGAACACCGAUGGCGAAGGCAGCCUCCUGGGCCAGCACUGACGCUCAUGCACGAAAGCGUGGGGAGCAAACAGG
Molecule: ribosomal RNA, 254 nt
Filed under: uncultured bacterium
Lineage: Bacteria
Description: partial 16S ribosomal RNA
Rfam family: Bacterial small subunit ribosomal RNA
Source: RNAcentral